AAAAACACACACAGUUACUCAUUUUUCUUCACCCACAGAUGCUGAAAGAUGGGACAACCUGCAUAUUAAUGACCUGAGCGGCUAGACCGACAAUUGCUCGAGAAGUCUUAAAACCUCCCAGACGAAUUAGACACGGUUUUCUAGAAUCGAGUUCAUCUGGAGUGAUAAAGCCAGGACACAAAAGAAGAUAUUUGGAAGAACGGCAGCGGCACCCAUUCACUUCUAUUGUAUGGACACAAAACCAAAGCAAGUGAAUGGGUGCCAGUUUACAACAUUCUUCAAAAUAUCGCUUUUUUGUGUUCUGCGGAAGAAAGUCAUACAUGUUUGAAAUGACGAGGCAGCUGGAUUUGGGAGGGAAAGUCAUUCUCUGGCAGGAAGGACACAUCUCCAUUCAGGAAAAGACGUACAGCCUGUGCAGCCAUGUGGGAUGCUAAUCUAGAAAACAUCAGAACGGCUGUGCUUAUGACAGGAACUAUUGCAGACAAAACGGCUUCAUCUGUCAGUGGACUACUGUGACCUGUUGAAACAAAAAUAGCGCUGCCAAACAACUACAAGCACGUGUAUCCG
Molecule: long non-coding RNA, 567 nt
Organism: Triplophysa rosa
Lineage: Eukaryota; Metazoa; Chordata; Actinopteri; Cypriniformes; Nemacheilidae
Exons: 4
Source: RefSeq, a predicted model, not a curated record